UACAGAGGGUGCGAGCGUUAAUCGGAAUUACUGGGCGUAAAGGGCGCGUAGGCGGUGUAUUAAGUUAGAUGUGAAAUCCCUGGGCUUAACCUAGGAACUGCAUCUGAUACUGGUACGCUAGAGUGCAGUAGAGGGUAGUGGAAUUUCCGGUGUAGCGGUGAAAUGCGUAGAUAUCGGAAGGAACACCAGUGGCGAAGGCGACUACCUGGCCUGUUUCUUGACGCUGAGGCGCGAAAGCUAGGGGAGCAAACGGG
RNAcentral lists this ribosomal RNA (254 nucleotides) under uncultured bacterium. RNAcentral describes it as "partial 16S ribosomal RNA". It matches the Rfam family "Bacterial small subunit ribosomal RNA", at positions 524 to 776 of the family's 1533-position model. The record is from RNAcentral.